Molecule: ribosomal RNA, 532 nt
Filed under: Staphylococcus aureus
Lineage: Bacteria; Bacillati; Bacillota; Bacilli; Caryophanales; Staphylococcaceae
Description: partial 23S ribosomal RNA
Rfam family: Bacterial large subunit ribosomal RNA
Source: RNAcentral
UAAGUAAGCUUUGAUCCAGAGAUUUCCGAAUGGGGAAACCCAGCAUGAGUUAUGUCAUGUUAUCGAUAUGUGAAUACAUAGCAUAUCAGAAGGCACACCCGGAGAACUGAAACAUCUUAGUACCCGGAGGAAGAGAAAGAAAAUUCGAUUCCCUUAGUAGCGGCGAGCGAAACGGGAAGAGCCCAAACCAACAAGCUUGCUUGUUGGGGUUGUAGGACACUCUAUACGGAGUUACAAAGGACGACAUUAGACGAAUCAUCUGGAAAGAUGAAUCAAAGAAGGUAAUAAUCCUGUAGUCGAAAAUGUUGUCUCUCUUGAGUGGAUCCUGAGUACGACGGAGCACGUGAAAUUCCGUCGGAAUCUGGGAGGACCAUCUCCUAAGGCUAAAUACUCUCUAGUGACCGAUAGUGAACCAGUACCGUGAGGGAAAGGUGAAAAGCACCCCGGAAGGGGAGUGAAAUAGAACCUGAAACCGUGUGCUUACAAGUAGUCAGAGCCCGUUAAUGGGUGAUGGCGUGCCUUUUGUAGAAUG